CUGUCUCUCUCUGGUCUCUCUCCCCCCUACUGGUCUGACUGUCUCUCUCUGGUCUCUCUCCCCCCUACUGGUCUGACUGUCUCUCUCUGGUCUCUCUCCCCCAGUCCCUACUGCGGCGUCAGGGCGACCCGGACAACGGGACUCUCUGGUCCAACUCCUCCGAGUCGUCCGACGACUCGUCCAGCCCGGCGCUGGGGGGCCACGCCCACCGGCUGGCGGGGGCGUCGCCCGCGCUGCAGGCCACGCCCCCCCGACAGCUGUCCUUCGCCCCCCGCCAGCCCAGCACCUCCACGCCCUCGCUCUCGUCCAAUCAGGGGGAGGACGAGCCGGAGGAGGCUGGGCCGGAGGCGGGCUUCACCCAGAUGCUGGGGGCCCGCAGCUUCUCGGUGCCCAACGGCCACCUGCAGAGCUCCAAGUCGGACCCCCACCUGGGGGGGGUGGCGCCCCCACGAGCCCCCCCAGCCCCGCAGCACCUCCUUCCCCAGCGUCUUCUCCCCCAGCGCUGCCCUGCUGGGGGGGCGGGCCGACGUGCUGGCAGAGUGCCACUCGUCAGAGGAGAGCGUCUGCAGCCAGGGGGGGGGCCCAGGGGGGGGCCAGGACUCACCGGCCCCGGGCCCCGGAGAAGACAGAACCAGGGGGUCGGGGGGGCCGCUGGGCCGGAGCUUUGAGGAGGAGGAGCAGAAGGGUUCUGAGGAACACAAGGAGGAGGCGAAGACUGAGGAGACGCAAAGGGUCCGCUGCUCCAGCUCCUCCAGCUUCACCCAGGAGGUGGAGACGGCCCUGGAAAGCUUCGACUUCCUCAACUGCUCAGACCUCGACGAAGAGGAAGAGGAGGAGGAGGAGGAGGAGAAGCAGGGGAAGCAGGAGGAGGAGUGGGAGGAAGACCAGAAGGAGGAGAAGGAGGAAGACCAGAAGGAGGAGAGGGAGGAAGACCAGAAGGAGGAGAGGGAGGAGAAGCAGGAGGAGAAGAAGGAACAAGACAUAUCAGAGGAGGAGGAGAAGGGGGUUGAACGUGGCUCCGUGGACGAGGAUGAGGAGGAGCAGGAAGUGGAUGUGAAGGAGCAGGAAGUGGCUGUGGAGCAGAUCUACGCUGGUGACAGCGAUGACCACCAGGAGGGGGAGGGGGCGGAGCUAGACAUCCUCAUGGAGGCUCCGGAAGGCUUCCGCAACUCGGACGAGGACUGCUGCUACUUAUCGCAGGGGUCGAGUGCUGAGGACCUGCAGGAGGCCUGUGACGUGGAGACAGGGGCGCUGACCCAGGAGGAGGGUAAGGAGCUCAGAGGAGACUCAGACCAGUGUGAGGAGGGUCACGGAGGUUCACGGUCCCUUUCUGUUUGUCCUCAAGAGUCUGUCGGGAGGCGGGACUGUCCCUCUACCAGCACCACGGCCGCCGCAUACUCAUAA
Molecule: long non-coding RNA, 1404 nt
Filed under: Gadus morhua (Atlantic cod)
Lineage: Eukaryota; Metazoa; Chordata; Actinopteri; Gadiformes; Gadidae
Description: lncRNA (ENSGMOG00000037122.1)
Source: RNAcentral